Molecule: long non-coding RNA, 5184 nt
Organism: Hypanus sabinus (Atlantic stingray)
Lineage: Eukaryota; Metazoa; Chordata; Chondrichthyes; Myliobatiformes; Dasyatidae
Exons: 3
Source: RefSeq, a predicted model, not a curated record
ACAAGGUUCCUUAAGGUUACAGCCUGGGGUGGUAAUGGGGACAAGCUCCCAGUAAUGUUAAGUGCUCCCAAUGGCGGGCGCCUCAAAGUCCGGCCCCUGGUCUUCACCUGUGGCUGAGCGACGAAACCCGGCGGAACCGUUCCUACCGACAGGUGAAGGGGCAAAGGCGGUUUUCUGGCGCCUCAAAACAAGCCGCUUCGGGCAGAUGGGGCUCAUUAGCCGUGGUUGGCAGCUCAUCUGGGAUUGGGAAACUCUGAUCUCAAAGUCCCGCUGCCUUGCGGCUAUACCCACCCAUGGGGCAGGCUUCGGGAGUAGCAAACAUCCGGAGCUGGAGUCCCUGAGGCUGAGUUCGACGCUGACUGGCAGCUCCUGUGACGCUGCUGGUACCAGACUGCUACAUGGACAACCGCUCUCCAUGUUGUCCUUGCAUAUCUAGACAGCUAGGACACAAUAGCUCACUGAUCAACUCUGACCGUCCGGAGGCCUCAGCAGUGCAUAAAAGACCAAAAAAGUGAGGUUGUUCAUUCUGAAAUCUAAUGGUAGAAGGGAAGGAGCUGUCAUGAACAUGUUCAGACUCCCCUACUCCUUGGUGGCAGUAAUGAGAAGACAGAGGUCCUGAAUAAUGGAUGUCUCCUUGUUGAGGCAUUUCCUUUUGGAGGUGUCCUGGAUGCUGGGGUCGGGAGUGUCCACGAUAGAGCUGGCUGAGUUUGCAACUUUCCGCAUCUUUUUUCCGACCCUGUGCAGUGGCCCCUCCAUGCAAGACAAUAAUAUAGCCUGUUAGAAUGCUCUCCACAAUGCAUCUAUAAAAAAUAGCAAUUCUUUGGAGACCUACAGUACAAAUUCUCCUCAAACACCUAAUAACAUAUAGCCACUGUCAUGCCUUCGUUGUAGUUACAUGAAUACUCCAUGUUGGGCCCAGGAUAAAUCCUCAGGGAUCUGAAACUGCUCACUCUUUCCACCGCUCAUUCCUCGAUGAGGGCAGGUAUGUGCUCUCCCCCGACUUCCCUUCCUGAAGUCCACGAUCAAUUUACUGACGCUGAGUGCAAGCUUGUUUUAUUUCAACACCUCUCAACCAGCUGAUCUAUCUCGCUCCUGUACGCCUCCCCGUCACCAUCCGAAAUUCUGCCAACGACUGCCUGCAGGUGGUGCCUGGCCGCAGUGGGGGGUGGAACGGGAGCAGGGCAGCGGGUUGGGCACGCUAAGCGGCUGCGGAUGCUGGAAACAUUGAGCAGUGCACGGGAGAUUCUGCAGGAAUGGCCACCCUGGUCCCUCUUCAGUUCCUCUCUCCACCACGUUUCAGCCAAUAGAAACACAGUAAAACUCCCUGCAGUAUUUUGUGUUUCCCCUCCACAGAUGCUGCCAGAGUAGCUGAGUUCCUCCAGUGUUUCAAAGUUCAAAGUGAAUGUAUUAUCGAAGUACAUACAUCUUACCAUAUACAACCCUGAGACUCACUUCCCUGCAGGCAUUCACAGGAGAAUAAAGCAGUGCACUAGAAUCAAUGAAAAACUAUACAUAAAGACUGACAAACAACCCAAGUUCAAAGUGCAUUUAUUAUCAGAGUAUGUAUACUUAUACAACCUUGAGAUUUAUCUCCCUACAGGCUGCCAAAACAAAAAGAAUCCCAUUAAAAGAAGACGGAUUUCGACUAAGCGACAAAUUAUUAAAAUUCGUAAACAAGACGAUUGAAAAAGAAAAAGAAAAGAAGACGGUCAAACACCCCAUGUGCAGGGGGGAAAAAAUCAAAUCGUGCAAACAAUGACAUUCAGAACUGAUGUCCAGGAACGUAAGUCCACAGCCAGUAAGCCGGUCAUCACUGCAGACCAUCCAAUGGCCCGUGGGUUGCAGGCUACGGGCUCAGUUCACCGCAGAGAAGAGUGGACCUCUCAGAUCAGCGAGCUUGUCGCGACCCUCACCUCACCUUCUCAAUCUGACCUGGUGCUUACCUCGGGACAUUCCUCAGUCUCAGACCCAGGCCCCGCUGCUUCAAUGUGCUCUCGGGCCCAGGCCUUGAUUUGGGCCCUUGGCCCGGCACUUAAAUCAACCAAACAGUGGGUCAUUCCUCAGUCUCAGACCCAGGCCCCGCUGCUUCAAUGUGCUCUCGGGCCCAGGCCUUGAUUUGGGCCCUUGGCCCGGCACUUAAAUCAACCAAACAGUGGGUCAUUCCUCGCUCUCGGGUUCGGGCCUGGGCCUCACAGCCUCAAUUUGGCUCGUACCCACUAAGCCACAACCAUCCUCCACCUUCGAGACUGCAGUUCACGCCACAGAAGUUGCAGUUCAUACAGGCGAUUCAAAAGCUCAACUCCGAAAGGGAAGUGACAGGCUAUGGACUGCAGUGAUCGUACCUGGCAAAAAGGGAGAUGAAUACAGUCAUUUACAGUAUCGUUUGUUUGGUUUGCUACCAGCAAGUUGUCGCUGUGCUUCAGCAGCACCGUCUUGAAAGGGAAUGUGCAAAAGAAGACAAGCCGUGCUUAACCGCAGGGAACGUGAGUUGUAGAGUCCAUAGGUUGUGGAAUCAGUUUGUAGUUUUACUUAGAGAUGUAGCCUGGAGCAGGUCUGUCCAGCCCACCGUGUCACGCCGACCAGCAAUUCACCAAUUUAACCCUAGCCUAAUCACAGGACAAUUUACAAUGACCAAUUAACCUGCUAACCAGUGCGUCUUUGGACUGUGGGAGGAAACCGGAGCACCCGGAGGAGACCACACAGUCACAGGAAGAAACUACAAAGAGAAGAUGCCGAAAUUGAACUCUGAUCUCCGCGCUGUAAUCGUGUCGCGCCACCCGCUACGUUUAGCACUGAGAGGUGGGGGAGGACCAAGGGAAUGUGUGCAAUCGGGCGAAGAGCAGAGUUGAUGGAAGAGAUUCUGCAGAUGCAGGAAAUCUUCAGGUUUCAUUAUCAUUCAACCCUGCGUGAAUGUAGCUAAAUGAAGCAGCAUUCCUCUAAGGUGCAAAACACCAGCGGCAAAGAGCACACUGAACUUUGCACGAAUAGCACAUAUGGUUAACAGUUCAGGAGAAAACAUACAGUCACAGUGAGAGAAAAAAACCCCCAAGUCCCGGAGUUGUCCCGGUUCUUCCAGAGCGAACACCAGAGGGCAGCACCAAGAUAACACGUACAAGUGAAAACCUGUCGGUGCUGGAGAUCCGAGAAACGCCCACGAAAUGCUGGAGGAACUCAGCUGGUCAAGCGUCAUCUUUAGGGGAAAAUGCUUUCAUUUCAGGCCAGCAGCAUCCAUGUCGAUAUUUCUGGCACUUCCCAGCACAGUGUAUCAGUAAAUAUUUAUAGGGCAUCGCAGUUCAAGACUAAAUAAUUGUAUAAUGAAUUUUGUUGGUCAGCGCAAGUUCAGGUAUUAUAUACUGUAUGAGAUUAUUAUUUAUUUUACUUCAAAGUAAGUAUUACAGGGAAGCAUCUCUUAAGUAAGAAUGUUUUUGAUCAUUUGCAAUUCGUGAGUUGUGAGUUAAUUGCUUACUUUUUUAUUGAUUGCAUGGUUUUUUUUUGCACAUUGGGUGUUGGUCAGCAUUUGUUGUAAUGGGUUAUUUCUGGAUUCUAUUGAUUGAUUUUUGAUUUUCUUUUGUGAUUACUAGAGUGAGUAGUUUACAUUAUAACUUUUCAUGCCAACCUUGUAGUUCAAAGUACUUUACAAUGGGAUAAAGUGCAAACAUGACUUAAAAGACAAAAACGUGUUAGUUAAAAGCAAAGUAAAAUUAAAUAGGUUUUGAGCUCAUGUUCAAAAGUGUCAGCUGAGUCUGCAUGCGUUAUGGUUUUGGGGAUUGAGUUGACACUUUAGCAGAGUAGUUCAGAAAAGCUGAUUUACCAAAUAUCUUUCGAGGGGGACUGCUUAAUUUUAAGAGACCUGAGAGCUCAAGCGGGAUUAUAAAACAAAAAUGAUGCAGUGGUGCACUUCGGGCCCAGACCAUUAAAAGUUUUAAAAACAAGUAAGAAAACUUUGAAAUCGAUUCUAAAAGAUACAGGAAGCCAGUGCAGGACAGGAGUGAUAUGCUCCUUCAUAGUAGUUUUAGUUAGAAGUCAAGCAGCGGCAUUCUGAAUGAGUUGAUGUUUGCCAAUAGAUUGCAUUGGAAGGCCAGUGAAAAGUGCACUGCAGUAAUCUAGCCUAUUCGAUAUAAGGAUGUGAGUUAGUUCUUCAGUAUCACAUAAAAAUAGUUCCGUCAAAUUUGAAGAGUAGUCCUAAUGGAGCAGAUAUUUACUUAGAACUUUUUUGGAAGAGCAGUUAAUGAGCAGUCUGUCUCGAGCUCAGAAACUCAGAUUAUUCAAUUCAAAUCGCAUAGGGUUUGAGUCGCUCUGUGACUGCAUUCAAAGGCAACUGAAAACAAUCACAAGAUUAAAUAAGGAAGAAAUAUGAUCUAAGUGACUGUUGAAUGAUUGUUGGUGCUAGAUGGGGUGGGUUGAGUAUUUCAUAAGCUGAUUGGGGAUUUUCACACACAAGAGUUCUCUAGAAUGUACAGAGAAUGGUGUGAAAAGCAAAACACAUCCGGUGAGUAGCAGUUCUGUGCACAAAAAUACCUGGUUAAUGAAUGGCCAGACUGGUACUGUGGUGAACUACAUAUACCUGUGUGGACACGCCCCCUGCUGACUGCUCCUGUGACCCCUCCCACAGACCCCGGUAUAAAGGCAAUUGAGGCCUGAGCCCGGCCCUCGGUCUCCAGGAUGUAGUAUGGUGGUCAACUACUGCUUGUUCUUAAUUCCAGUCAAUAAUAUCUCGCCUUCAGGUCUCAGAGAGAGUUAUUGAUGGUGCGUCAGGUACCAGCUGACAGGAAGGUGGCAAUAACUAUGUGUUACAACAGUGGUGUGCAGAAGAGCAUCUCUGAAUGCACUUGCUGAACCUUGAAGAAGAUAAACUACAGAAGCAGUAGACCAUGUCUAUACACUCAGUGGGCACUUUAUUAUGUACAGGAGGUACCUACUAAAGUGACUAUUGAAUGUAUGUGUAUAUAUAUAUUUUUUCAAAAUUAAAUAAUAUGUUUUGAACAUGAAUGAACAAAAAGUAAAAUAUCAGUCAGUCAACUCAAGCUUUCCAUUCUGUAGAUCGGGAUUGAGUUCAAGAGCCGAGAGGUAAGGUUGCAGCUAUAAAGGGACACUGGUCAGACCCCACUUGGAGUACUGUGCUCAGUUCUGGUCCACAGGAAGGAUGUGGAAACUAUAGAAAGGGUGCAGAGGAGAUUUACAAAG